UGGGAAUAAGCCGAAAAUCCUGAAUAGAGUAGGCA
Molecule: non-coding RNA, 35 nt
Organism: Pedobacter ginsenosidimutans
Lineage: Bacteria; Pseudomonadati; Bacteroidota; Sphingobacteriia; Sphingobacteriales; Sphingobacteriaceae
Source: Rfam